Alligator mississippiensis (American alligator) is the source of this 6926-nucleotide long non-coding RNA. RefSeq lists it as hypothetical. NCBI's taxonomy places the organism in Eukaryota, Metazoa, Chordata, Crocodylia, Alligatoridae. The record is from RefSeq and is a predicted model, not a curated record. The transcript has 2 exons.
AGUCUGGGCAACGUGGGACCUGGACGCUGUGAGGAGUGUGGCCUGGAUGGGGCAGCAGUAUGCAAGGGCCAAACAGGCAUUGAUGCCUGCCCUCAUUGUGGGCUCAGCACUGUGGAGACGAAGGGCUUCACCACGUGUUUGGGAAGCGAGCACAGCUCAGGGUCAGAGCCAGGUGGAGACGGGGAGGCCGGGGAGCUCAUCAGGCUGUGGGCCAGGGCUGUGCCCAGCGUGCCUGGGAGGACAGCAUGACUUGGGCCUGUGCAGGAGAGGUCGCAGCAGCCUGGAUGGAAACCCGCUUGGCACAGGUUGAUGGCCGUGGGGAGAAGUCAUGGUCUGAGCAGCCGCUGGCCCGGCCUGGAGCAAGAAGCCGGUCUGUCAGCUCCGCAGCAGGCAGCCCUGGGCCGCGGUGCCCGGAGCAGUCCCUGGAGAGUUGGAUUUGGGGCGCAGGGGAAGGAGGAUGCAGUCACAGUGCCUGUUGCUCAGGGGCAGGUGAGCAGACACCAUGAAUGAAGGUAGGGUGCACGCUGGCCACAUGCCGUUCACAUCCUGCUGUCCUGCAGCUGCCGCAGCCCUGCAAGGUGUUUCUCGGGCCACGUGGAAAACACCAGCUUCAGCCUCAAAAAAUAUCUAGCACUGAGGGGCCUGAUUCUGCCAUGGUUACAUAUCCUCAUAGGAACAAACCCAGCAACCACCGGCUACUGUGGGCAGGGAUGGAGAUGUGGCCUUAACACCUCGACCCAGAAGCCUUGACUCGUGUGAGUAAAUCCCAGCACUGCAAACAGUCCCACCCCUCCCAGCACGGUGCUGGGACUCACUCUUGCUGGCCUGUGCUCUUAUGUUGGGGCCCGCUGAUCUCCCCAAACAAGUUUGCCCUGGCCCAAAGGAUGUUUGAGCAGCUUCUUGGGCCCCAGUGGCUUUCGGUAGGCUUUGGCUGCUAGGGACACAGGGGAUAGCACGUUGCAGCAGGGACAGAAUCGGGCCCUCCAUGACGACAGGUCUCAGGAUCAGGCCCAAAUGCUCCCUUGCAAAGAAAAAGCAGAGGGUGCCGCUCGGGUGCGACGCGCGGAGCCCACAGACAGGGACAUGUCGCCAUGAGCAGCUCGGCUGGAACCGCCCGGACAUAAAUCCCAUUAUUUUGAUGUCAGCUGAACAGCCUGUUCCUGUAACGAGGUGUUUUAACCUCACUUCAUAGUCAUUGUUCUGCCCUCUUUGAUUUUACUGUAAAUGACUGGACUGGCUUCUGAUGUGUUGCCAGCGCCCCAUAAAUUUCGCCCGUUCACGAAAGAAAACCAAGAGCGUUCUCCGCAAGGCAAUUAGCUCGGCGGCUGGCAACCGCGGGCUCGGCUCUGUGGGGGCUGUCGCCAGCCCCGUGGGCGCUGUCAUAGGCUCGGGGUGGGCGGCUGCUCGAUGGGUUGAUAGCAAACUCCCUCCAGGGAAUUGCAAACACCUGUGCAAUUGGCCCCGCACUUCCUGACAUGGAGAGGAGGGAGUGGAGAGCAGAGGCAGACUUGGACCCAGGGCACAUCUGUAGGGCCCAGGGUUUCUGGGUUGCACGCAGUCAGUGCAUGCACACGUUCAGUAUCCCACGUCCCAUUGGGGUUAGCAGGGCUAGUGAGUGCAGAGGGCUGGAGCAAGGCAUUGAGUAAGGAUUUAGGCACCUGAGCAUUCAGCGAUGUAACCUCCUCCCUUUGUCGGUGCACGGCCCAGCAUGGAAUCCCCUAGAGAGAGCACGAGUUGGAGCCCAAAACCACUGUGGGCUGAGCAGGAAACCACCUCACCACCAGCCAGCACACAAGCCUGCAGCCGCCGAGAGCUCGUGCACAGGAAAUGUUGGGGAUGGGACAUCCUGCACGCUCCAACAGAGCUGCCUGGGGCUGCAGGGAGGUCCUGGCCCCAUCUGGGAUCUACAGCCCAGUGCUGCUGCCUUCCCUCCAAAGGCUGAACACUCCCAGAGUGAUGGACGCUGGGCUCCUGCUCCAGUUCAGGAAAAGCCUCCUCUCCUUCGGGUUGUGACUCCUCAUACCAACCCCUGCCAAGUGUCAGAGCAGCAGAUCACCAGUGGCUGGUUCCCAGCAGGAUGACUUGGCCUUCACCUUCAUGCCCCAACCUAGAUGCGUUGUGGUCAGAGCCAGCACAUGCCCGGACGGAGCUGACCAUCUGAGUCUGCUUUGCUGAGAUACAAGUGAGUCUGGCAUGGAAGUGCGGAGAGACCCACACUCUUCACCCUCUGAUGGAUGAUUUAGGAGUUAGGUAAUUAGGUGAAGCCAAUGCACGCCCAUCUCCUCACCGCAUUCGAAGCUGAUGGGCUCUCUGCAAAGUCCUGCGCCAUGGCCACCUGCCCCUGGACACAGUGCCCAUGCACUCAUCACUCUGUCAGCUCUUCCAGGCGGGUGCUGAGUCUCGCUCCUGUUUGUACAGCACCUUGCACGCGGGCUGUCUGGUUGAUGUCUGGAGGAGCUCUGUCCCAAGUAUGUGCAACUUCAGAGGCCCGUGCAGGCCAAACAAUUGCACAGCAAGCUACUGGCAAGUCCACCCCCUGCCACCAUGCAGAGAAGAUGGUCCUGUCUAGGGCAGCAUCCUGCCAGCUGUUUUCCCCCUAGCACUCCAGCUGUUCUCCCCCCAUCUGACAGCUCCCUGAACCCGGAGCAUGUUUGACAGCCCAUCCCCUUCAUGGCUUAGGGGCAGAGGCGAAUGCCAGGAGCAAAGUAGGUUAACAGUUGUAGAGUCAGCAAACAUUCAGGUGAGGGCAACAGGAGAUGCCCAACAGACUGCGCCAGGGCUGACCAAGGCGUGGAGAGACAAGCCCAUAGCCAGAGAGGCCGGGCAGUAUGACUGUGGCUCAGAAGAGAGGGCAGCAUGAAAGAAGCCAGGUGAGAGCUGGCAGAAUGAAUGGGACCCCGGUGAGAGAGGGUGGAAUGAUAGUGCCCCUCCAGGGUAGUAUGGUAGAGCUACAACUGUGUGCCCAGUUUGCUCUGGAACUAGGCCGGAGAAGUAACACACAGUGGAACAUCUGCAAGGCUUGGGGCACAUACAGGGGUGGUCGGAGCAUGCACCUAUGGCCCUAGUCAUCACAGCAUACAAAAGGUAGUCUCCCGCUCAAGUAACAGCUGAACUUUAUUUUCAUCAAGGCGUGGCAGGCGAGUGGAGCGGGUGGAUUGCCCAGAGCCAAGGGAAGACUGGAGGUGGAGACCUGGCUAAGAAGGAAACCCUGUUAUACAGGGGCUGGAUGGGAAGGGGAUAAAUCCAAAGCAGUCAGUCAGUCUUUGCAAGGUGCUGACCCUGGAGAGCUGCCCGGGUCCUGUGGCUGUAAACCUCAUGUAUCCAGACCCGCAGGGACCUACAUGCCAAAGGGGAAACUUCAGUGCCUGAUUUGCCCCGGGCCCUUCUCCAGCCCAGAUGUGACGACGCUGGCUGCCGAUGAAGCAACCCCUGGGUUAUCGGCUCCUGGAUAAGGGAGACUCUCAUUCCCAGUCCUAUGCCAAGGGCAGCCCAGCUAGUCUGAGGGCACUGGGACUGCACUGGUGUGUUCCCCCUCCCCUCAUCCACCAGUGGGUCUCACAAGGUGGGCGAGCAAGGAACCACGUGGCUGCCCUCCGGCUGCUCCUGGCCCUGCCACGGCAGGAGGAGAAGGGGGGGCUGCUGCUGCCACUGGGUUUUUCCAGGCUGUGAAGCGCAGAGGCAUGCCCAGAUCCUAAUCAGCGUGGGAAAGCAGCGGCCCAGCCUGCUCUGGCCCAGGCCUGCUGGAGACGCCGGGUAUUUUCAUAAGCUUUAUCGCAGGCCCUGAUAAACCACCACAAACAAACAGCGCGGAGCGUGGCCGCCGGCCAGGAGGCUGCUCCCAGACACACGCGCUCCGGUCCCCGGGGGAACGCCACCACCGGCCAGGAUUCAAAGCGGUUCAUUUAUUUUCCUGCCGACUGACGUUCAAAGGGCACGGACCGGAGGCUGGGCGGCCUGGGGCAACGGCUCUGCCUGGGAGACGGCCGACAGGCGCAGCAACUUGGGUUUUCCAUGUGUCCUGGGGCCGGGCUUUCUCAUGGGGUCCCCACAUGUAAAUUGGGGGUGGGGAUGUCCUCACUGCCUCCGAGACAGGAGGGGGUGCUUGCAAAGUUGCAGCAAGGGGGGAGGCAGCCCUCUCAGAAGUGCCUUCUUUUUGGAGAUCAAAGGGCACCACUGCUGUUCUCUGCUCCCCAGGCCCCACGGCACAGGGAGAUCUCCCCAUGACAGCACCAGCCGGCCGGCUCUGUUCAGGUCCUGUGCCUGCAGUCAGGGGGUCUCUGCUUUGCUGGGCGGUCUCACAUUCAUUCAUUUUAACCCGUGUCUCCCCUGGCCCUGGGGACACCCCCUGGGAUGCAGCGCCUUGCAGCUACACGCUGGGUUGGCUUGCUCCAGCCUUUCGUCCCCCAGAAAGCAUGGCACGGCCGCUUAGCCCUGUUUAGGAACUCAUCAGGUCCCGUGCACGCUUUGUGUGCUUAUUGCUCUGGGCCCAUAAAACAGCUUGACCAUGACAAGCUGAGCGCUGCUCUCCCAGCCAUGAUACAAGCGGUCAAGAGAGCAUGUCAGGGUUGGAUGCAUUUGCCAAAGGCAGAAGUCCCGGCUGGGAAAGCCCAGCAAGCUGCCCAUCCUGCACUUACACACACUCUAUACAGUGAUAAGCAGUGCUAUUUAAAGGGGAAACACUAGAGUAAUCCCCGGAGAAAGUGCAGCCCAAAAGGAGCAGGCUUGUCUAGCUGCUGGCUGCAGGAUUUAUUAACCUGGCAGCACACAGAUUACCUCUCAGAGGAUGAUCCCUCAAGGCAAACCACUGGAGCCGUCUGCAUCUCUAGCCAACAUCCGGGCCCACUGCAAACUGCACCGCAAUGAUCAAGGAGCACAGGAGUGGGGCGGGGGGGAGAUAACCACAGCAAUACUCGGACAUAUCCAUCUCCCUUGCAGGUUUGGCUGUGGAAGCCGGCGUGAUGCAUUUAGGUGUUUCUUGACAACUGUCAUGAGAAAAGCCCUGGGCUUACAGGGUUGUGGGGCUAGGGCUUUAUAGCCCCCAUCUCCUUUGCCGAGAGGGUAAGCAAGGAGGUCUUGUGUCGGGGAUGCACUCGGGGCUUGACCGGCACGCGAUGCCAGCCGUGCGGAGAGGGCGAGAGCGGCUUUGGGAGCUGGCAGAGUUUGGCUCCCACUUCUGCUCCCCAGGCAGGGGCACGGCUGGCUCGCAUGGCGGAGAGCCCCCUUUGCCUCCCCCCGACAGCCCUCCUGCUCCCCACUUCCCGUCGCAGGAGCAGCUGGGCUUUCUCCUUGGCGUCUCAGCUCCCGCCACAGCCUCGGCCCAGCUCUGCUUAGCUUGCAUGAUCCCAGAGGUCGAGCUGACCGCCCAGAGCGUGGGGAGGCAGGCACGCCGUCCUUGAGACAUAUCACCUCCGGCACGCUAUGCUGGAAGGUGCUGACAGCGCGUGCGACUCCUCCUUGGCGCCCCUCCUCCCCAAACAUCCUCCUUAAAAAUAAAGCGUCCAAAAUAGCCCCGGCCAGCGCUGACAUUUGCCAGGCAGCUGCUCUCGGGAAUGCUGCGCCUCCCUCCCAUCCCCGCCGGCGAGCGCUGGAGCCGGGCCAGGUGUCGUGUCUGCAGGGGAAUGGGAACAAGGUGUCUUCCAGGGAGCGGGGCUGGCCCCGGGGCACGGCGCCCUGCCGCUGUCCAUCACCCUGCUGGCACCCCUGCCCCGGAGGUAGCCUGGCCGGGGGGGUUCACACUUCGCACCCUGCCUGCUCGGAAAUAAGGGUCGGUUAUGGUGUCUCGUGGCUGGUUUGUGGCCUGGUUCUUGGGGGAAAGCAGCUGUCAGGACACAGACCCCCAUUUCUCUUUGCUGGGCUGAGCAAUGACCAUGCACAGGAGCUAUUUUUCCCUCUCCCCACCGGUGGUUCCCUGCUGCACUGGGGUCACAGCCGUACGGGGACCCUCGGCCCAGCUGCUCGGUGGCGACUGUAGCGGGUCCGGUCCAGAGGGUCGUCUGCCCAGCUGCUUCAUAGGCCCUGCAGCCCAGGUGUGUUUAUCAGCGCUGUUUAAAAAGAGGGGGUUGUUGCUCUCAUUCCCCAUCCUCGGUUGAUUUGCAGCCUCCCUGAGAAGGAGCCGGGGAGCCAGUCUUGGGUGGUGCAUCUGGGCUUCUGCCUGCAAAGAAGCAGGUACAAAACCCCUGGGGAGCACCGGGCAGCUCCGUUUCAUGGACAGGAGGGCUAAUCGAGCAAACCUGUUCUUUUUUCUUGCGCCCAUUUUACAGGUCUGGUUGGUAACAGCCGUGCUGCUGUCACCUGGAGGCUUUGACUUUGUGAUUGAGACUCUUCCACCCUGCGGUAUUCACAGGGCAUGCCUUAGAGGGGUUAAACCUGGCUGCAACACAGCUCAAAAUGCUUUUGCUACCGCAGGACGGGAGCUAGUCAACAGGACUGUCGGGGUGUCUCCUCCGACAUCCCUAAGGAAAGGUGGAGGCCAGGGAGGGAUGGCAGCAGACGGACGGCACUAGAAAUGCCCCGUUCCCACGGUCUCCCUCCAAAGCGGUUAUUACCGAGCCGGGCGAUGCAGCCGGACACCCAGCAGGUCCCCAUGCCUCGCGGACGGCCCCGUGGGAGGUCUCUGCCACCACGAGCCAGAAGACAGGGGAACAGCUGGAAAAGGGAAAGAGGCUCCAGCGAGACACGAGACCAGGAGCCUGAGUCAUAAACCUCAUCCUUAGGGCCCAGGGUUUGUCACGGGGAUUAUACAAAGAGCUGCCAUCCGGCCUUGGGAGAGAGAAGCCAACGUCACGAAUUUCCAAUUGAAGAAUGUCAACGCCGGGGCUCUUGAUCCAAACGGCCUGCUUUUGAGCCAAGAAAACAAAAACCCAUCAACAGAGAGAAGCCAUCCAGCUGCUUUGUCUCAGGAACCAAAUAAAUAUUUUAAAAAACCA